Molecule: small RNA, 64 nt
Filed under: Bordetella bronchiseptica 7E71
Lineage: Bacteria; Pseudomonadati; Pseudomonadota; Betaproteobacteria; Burkholderiales; Alcaligenaceae
Also listed under: 35 other names
Description: suhB
Source: RNAcentral
GGUCUGAGCCGGUCUUCGGCCAUGACAAAGGCCCGCCGCAAGGCGGGCCUUUCUUUUUGCUGCG